Long non-coding RNA from Fukomys damarensis (Damara mole-rat), 340 nucleotides. RefSeq lists it as uncharacterized. The transcript has 3 exons. NCBI's taxonomy places the organism in Eukaryota, Metazoa, Chordata, Mammalia, Rodentia, Bathyergidae. The record is from RefSeq and is a predicted model, not a curated record.
CGGAAGUUGGAACCGGAAGUUACAGCUGGGGUCUCUGAGCUUCCGGAAUGCGGAGGGCAGGCCUGAGUUCUUACAGUGAGGACGGUUUUACGCCUAAGAGAGUGAAAAGCCUUGUGGGAAGAGCACAUCCAACGUCACCGAGAACGGCAGCAGGUAGCAAGGGACAAGGGAUGAAAACUUGCAUUAAUCCUGACUGCACAGAAUGCCAUGCCUGACAUGGAGGCCUGGGACCAUUGUGGGGCCUCAGUGUGACCAGUCCAUACCCAUGGAUGUCUGUCACAGCUAUGGACCAGAUCCAUCCCAGCCCAUGCUGUCCCUGCUGACGGCGGAGGAAACUGAC